GAGGGUAUAGUCCUAUGGUAGAGUGCCUGCUUAGCAUGCACGAAGUCCUGGGUUCAAUCCCCAGUACCACUU
This 72-nucleotide transfer RNA is filed under the name Camelus ferus (Wild Bactrian camel). It matches the Rfam family "tRNA". From Rfam's summary of the family: Transfer RNA (tRNA) molecules are approximately 80 nucleotides in length. Their secondary structure includes four short double-helical elements and three loops (D, anti-codon, and T loops). Lineage: Eukaryota; Metazoa; Chordata; Mammalia; Artiodactyla; Camelidae. The record is from Rfam by way of RNAcentral.